CCUACGGGAGGCAGCAGUGGGGAAUAUUGCACAAUGGGGGAAACCCUGAUGCAGCGACGCCGCGUGAGUGAGGAAGUAUUUCGGUAUGUAAAGCUCUAUCAGCAGGGAAGAAAAUGACGGUACCUGACUAAGAAGCCCCGGCUAACUACGUGCCAGCAGCCGCGGUAAUACGUAGGGGGCAAGCGUUAUCCGGAUUUACGGGGUGUAAAGGGAGCGUAGACGGAAUUGCAAGUCGGAUGUGAAAAUCCGGGGCCCAACCCCGGAACUGCAUUGGAAACUGUAUUUCUAGAGUGUCGGAGAGGCAAGUGGAAUUCCUGGUGUAGCGGUGAAAUGCGUAGAUAUCAGGAGGAACACCAGUGGCGAAGGCAGCUUACUAAGCCAUAACUGACACUGAAGCACGAAAGCGUGGGGAUCAAACAGGAUUAGAUACCCUAGUAGUC
Molecule: ribosomal RNA, 440 nt
Filed under: uncultured bacterium
Lineage: Bacteria
Description: partial 16S ribosomal RNA
Rfam family: Bacterial small subunit ribosomal RNA
Source: RNAcentral